CAACUCUGAGUGGUGGGUCACUCGGCUCGG
Molecule: ribosomal RNA, 30 nt
Filed under: Magallana gigas (Pacific oyster)
Lineage: Eukaryota; Metazoa; Mollusca; Bivalvia; Ostreida; Ostreidae
Description: Crassostrea gigas (Pacific oyster) partial 5.8S ribosomal RNA
Source: RNAcentral